RNAcentral lists this ribosomal RNA (582 nucleotides) under uncultured bacterium. RNAcentral's name for it is "partial 16S ribosomal RNA". It matches the Rfam family "Bacterial small subunit ribosomal RNA", at positions 355 to 935 of the family's 1533-position model. The record is from RNAcentral.
UGGGGAAUUUUGGACAAUGGGCGCAAGCCUGAUCCAGCCAUGCCGCGUGCGGGAAGAAGGCCUUCGGGUUGUAAACCGCUUUUGUCAGGGAAGAAAUCUUCUGAGUUAAUACCUCGGGGGGAUGACGGUACCUGAAGAAUAAGCACCGGCUAACUACGUGCCAGCAGCCGCGGUAAUACGUAGGGUGCAAGCGUUAAUCGGAAUUACUGGGCGUAAAGCGUGCGCAGGCGGUUUUGUAAGACAGAGGUGAAAUCCCCGGGCUCAACCUGGGAACUGCCUUUGUGACUGCAAGGCUUGAGUGCGGCAGAGGGGGAUGGAAUUCCGCGUGUAGCAGUGAAAUGCGUAGAUAUGCGGAGGAACACCGAUGGCGAAGGCAAUCCCCUGGGCCUGCACUGACGCUCAUGCACGAAAGCGUGGGGAGCAAACAGGAUUAGAUACCCUGGUAGUCCACGCCCUAAACGAUGUCAACUGGUUGUUGGGAAGGUUCCUUCUCAGUAACGUAGCUAACGCGUGAAGUUGACCGCCUGGGGAGUACGGCCGCAAGGUUGAAACUCAAAUGAAUUGACGGGGUCAUAGCUGUUU